RNAcentral lists this ribosomal RNA (468 nucleotides) under uncultured bacterium. RNAcentral's name for it is "partial 16S ribosomal RNA". It matches the Rfam family "Bacterial small subunit ribosomal RNA", at positions 28 to 507 of the family's 1533-position model. The record is from RNAcentral.
GACGAACGCUGGCGGCGUGCUUAACACAUGCAAGUCGAACGGAAAGGCCCUGCUUUUGUGGGGUGCUCGAGUGGCGAACGGGUGAGUAACACGUGAGUAACCUGCCCUUGACUUUGGGAUAACUUCAGGAAACUGGGGCUAAUACCGGAUAGGAGCUCCUGCUGCAUGGUGGGGGUUGGAAAGUUUCGGCGGUUGGGGAUGGACUCGCGGCUUAUCGGCUUGUUGGUGGGGUAGUGGCUUACCAAGGCUUUGACGGGUAGCCGGCCUGAGAGGGUGACCGGCCACAUUGGGACUGAGAUACGGCCCAGACUCCUACGGGAGGCAGCAGUGGGGAAUAUUGCACAAUGGGCGGAAGCCUGAUGCAGCAACGCCGCGUGCGGGAUGACGGCCUUCGGUUUGUAAACCGCUUUCGCCUGUGACGAAGCGUGAGUGACGGUAAUGGGUAAAGAAGCACCGGCUAACUACGUA